This 474-nucleotide RNase P RNA is filed under the name Candidatus Peregrinibacteria bacterium CG_4_9_14_3_um_filter_49_12. RNAcentral's name for it is "RNase P RNA component class A". It matches the Rfam family "Bacterial RNase P class A". From Rfam's summary of the family: Ribonuclease P (RNase P) is a ubiquitous endoribonuclease, found in archaea, bacteria and eukarya as well as chloroplasts and mitochondria. Its best characterised activity is the generation of mature 5'-ends of tRNAs by cleaving the 5'-leader elements of precursor-tRNAs. RNAcentral also lists the same sequence under 2 other names. The record is from RNAcentral. Lineage: Bacteria; Candidatus Peregrinibacteriota.
CCUGUUCUUUGAGAUGAUCGCCCCGCAUCUGCGGGGAGGAACGUCCGGGCACCAAUGGAACGCCCUGCGGGUAACGCCCGUCGCCGCGCCAUAUAUACGGUAAAGGCGCAGUAGGACCAGUGCCACAGAGACGAGUCCCGCACUUGCUGCUUGCAGCAUGCGGGGAUUGAAACGCCUCGGAGUACCGAGGGUGGUGGCUUGCAAUCUGCAUUGAACUGAUUCAGUUCCGUGCCUUCGAUACCUUCAUGGAUUUCUAAUCCUCCAAGUAUCAAAGUGUGAGUUCACGACCGGUAAACUCUUGGCGGUGCAAGGAGGAUUUGGGUAGGAGGAAUUUUGCUCUGGUUCCGGAGCACCACCUACUCCUCCGCGUUGAGGUCUGCGAGUAAUCGCGAUCCCAGAUAGAUGAUCAUCACUCCGUACCAAGCAGUGUCGAAGUACGGAGGACAGAACCCGGCGUACCGAAGGACAGGAACA